CCUACGGGGGGCAGCAGUCGAGAAUCAUUCACAAUGGGGGAAACCCUGAUGGUGCGACGCCGCGUGGGGGAAUGAAGGUCUUCGGAUUGUAAACCCCUGUCAUGUGGGAGCAAAUUAAAAAGAUAGUACCACAAGAGGAAGAGACGGCUAACUCUGUGCCAGCAGCCGCGGUAAUACAGAGGUCUCAAGCGUUGUUCGGAAUCACUGGGCGUAAAGCGUGCGUAGGCUGUUUCGUAAGUCGUGUGUGAAAGGCGCGGGCUCAACCCGCGGACGGCACAUGAUACUGCGAGACUAGAGUAAUGGAGGGGGAACCGGAAUUCUCGGUGUAGCAGUGAAAUGCGUAGAUAUCGAGAGGAACACUCGUGGCGAAGGCGGGUUACUGGACAUUAACUGACGCUGAGGCACAAAGGCCAGGGGAGCGAAAGGGAUUAGAUACCCUGGUAGUC
Molecule: ribosomal RNA, 446 nt
Filed under: uncultured bacterium
Lineage: Bacteria
Description: partial 16S ribosomal RNA
Rfam family: Bacterial small subunit ribosomal RNA
Source: RNAcentral